UUCACUUCAGCUUGCCAGCUGGUGGUAUUGCUGCCAGGGACUACAUUUCCCGAAAAUCUAAAGAUGGACUAGUGGUAUGCGGAGCUCUCCUUUUUGGGGACUGCCAUAGACGCUGUCGGACUCCGAGUCUGGGCAGGGACACACGGCUUUCGAACAGAGGAGGCUGGAUCUGGUUUCCCGAAGAAGACACUGCACGGAUUGGAAGAGAAGAAAAGCUUUUCUGGAGUUGGGGAAGAUCCGGUCAUUGCAAGAUAGCCUGUAUGAGGACCUUCGUCCUUCCCUAGUGGUGAGAAUUUGGGGCGCAGUGGAGGCAGUGAGAGAGGCUCAUACUCCUGAAAGAGGAGUCUCAGAGGGAGGCCCAGUCUGGCCGUCUGCCUGUCUGCGCAGAUAGAGAGCUGGGCACUUACUGACCACACAGUGCACUUGGCAGAUUGACAACAUCUGGAACCCGGUUUUACCCCCCUACCACGGAGGUGGAACGCAGACCAGAAUUGGGACCUCACGUUCCUCUGGAACGGUCAUGGACUCUGCACAUACUCUUUCGCUGGACCCCUGGCUGCCUGUUUCCAGGCUAUUUCCGAAGCUCCUCCUAAUCGCCCGCGCUGUGUAGAAGUUUGGAAAGAACGGGGCAAAGGAAAAGGGGUGGGGCGGAGGGCGUGGCCACCAUGGAACCAAUGACUUUCUACCUGCGUCCCUCUAGACUACCUACCUGCUGAGCAGGAGGUCUACUGCACAGACAGGACAAGACAAGAGAGAUAUAGAGACAAACUGACAGAUGGACGUACAGCCAACAUGCGUGCAGGAACAGGACCCUGAACUUGUUGGCUAGACUUUGGAGGGGGGGGUCACACUAGUGCAUGCUACUGUGUAGGGAGAGAGCAGAAGGACAGAAACACUGACCCCUGCUGGUCCUGUAAGGUGGGAACAAGAGGGGCGGUCGAAGAUUGAGGUGUUGACUCGCCUCUUUUCCUUCUGGGCUGGGCGGGGACGCUGGGAGGCUGAACGGAGGCCAGACAAGCGUGGGGGGGGUGGUGGCAGGUGGCGGCGGAGGCAGAU
This is a long non-coding RNA of Anguilla anguilla (European eel), 1056 nucleotides long. RefSeq lists it as uncharacterized. NCBI's taxonomy places the organism in Eukaryota, Metazoa, Chordata, Actinopteri, Anguilliformes, Anguillidae. The transcript is spliced from 4 exons. The record is from RefSeq and is a predicted model, not a curated record.